ACCGUGAGAGAUUGUCUGGAGGAAGCAUACGGCAAAACUGUGAGUCGACGAACAGAAACAGCAUAGAAAGGCCGAGUCUGCGGGUAAGUUGGCACCUGUCUGCGUGCACCGCACAGGCAGGCAACACAACAAAGCCCCGGGUUCAGCCGGAGGAGCCUGUCCCGGUGUUGCGUUGAGCCGGGAGUAAAUGCUGCGGUUGUGCAGUGAAAGUUCA
RNAcentral lists this non-coding RNA (214 nucleotides) under marine eukaryotic metagenome. The record is from RNAcentral.